AGUGAACGCUGGCGGUAGGCCUAACACAUGCAAGUCGAACGGCAGCACAGUAAGAGCUUGCUCUUACGGGUGGCGAGUGGCGGACGGGUGAGGAAUACAUCGGAAUCUACUUUUUCGUGGGGGAUAACGUAGGGAAACUUACGCUAAUACCGCAUACGACCUACGGGUGAAAGCAGGGGAUCUUCGGACCUUGCGCGAUUGAAUGAGCCGAUGUCGGAUUAGCUAGUUGGCGGGGUAAAGGCCCGCCAAGGCGACGAUCCGUAGCUGGUCUGAGAGGAUGAUCAGCCACACUGGAACUGAGACACGGUCCAGACUCCUACGGGAGGCAGCAGUGGGGAAUAUUGGACAAUGGGCGCAAGCCUGAUCCAGCCAUACCGCGUGGGUGAAGAAGGCCUCCGGGUUGUAAAGCCCUUUUGUUGGGAAAGAAAAGCAGCAGGUUAAUACCCCGCUGUUCUGACGGUACCCAAAGAAUAAGCACCGGCUAACUUCGUG
This 492-nucleotide ribosomal RNA is filed under the name uncultured bacterium. Its description in RNAcentral is "partial 16S ribosomal RNA". It matches the Rfam family "Bacterial small subunit ribosomal RNA", at positions 29 to 507 of the family's 1533-position model. The record is from RNAcentral.